AUUCAUGUAGUGCGAGGAGCGCACGGAACUCUGGGUAGAGAAUGGAAGCAUAGCGUAAUCACUCAAAGUCAAUAAAAGCGUGCAAUCGAUGUCGCCGGCACUUUAUUAGAAAAUAAGCUAAAUCAAAUCUUAUAUUUGUGUGCUAUACAUUCAUGGACGCAUAGCCUCCCUAGGCAUGAAGUCAUUGGUUGGUCUGAAAUUUGACAAACGUGUCAAGAUGUAACAUUCGUUACCGAGAAAUUAAUUAAAGGGAAUGGUAGAACAAUUUCCCACGUGUUUUUGCUCUCUGUCUGCAUGAUAUGGUAUACGGCAUGAACGUCUACUAUGAACAUGUGAGUUUGAAAGUCAAUACGUGUUAAACUUUGAGAAUUAGGAUUAAUUUUCUCUUAUGAAAUGGCGCUUGUGAGAGCAGAAGUACAGAAUAACUACCAUGAAAAAAAAUGUAUUAAAACAUAAGAACAACCAUGAAAAAAUGUUUUAGAAAUAAUAUUAUAUGCUCCCCUUGUGGCAAUACUGAAAAGGUAGAAUGUCUGUAUAGACAGUGAAAAUAAAGGUUUAACUAUCGGUCAAAGGCUACCAUAAUGAUACAUGUAAGUUUUGUCUCUCAAAAUACGUAUAAGCAACUGGUCAUUUUAGUAAUUUUGUAUGACCUUUGACCUUGUGACUUGGAAUCCAAUGGGGGUCAUCUAUUCAUAAGGGGCACCAGUGUUUCAAGUUUGAUGUCUAUCAAGGAAAGACUUCUCAACGGACAAUAGCGUAUGUCCAGAGUAGUUUUACCGUUGUCCUUUUGACCUCAAAAUUAAUAGGGGACAUCUAUGUCUUAAGGUUCACGUUAAAUAUUCAUUCAUAACACCACGUGGUGGAUUAUACUGACAGUUUCUAUGGAAAGGUAUUCCAAAAUAAGCAACAAAAACAUAAGAUUCGGUAUACAUUUAAUCAAAAUGUUGGGAAAUUAAACAUUUUCUUUAUAUUAUUAUUGUAAACAGAUUGGUAGAAAUGGGUAAAUAUGAUUCUUUCCAUUUUUUGAAUAGAAAUGAUGUGUUUAUAGUAAUGAAAGGAAAAAUAAGAAACAUACGUUACUUUCAUUGUUUAUUAUAACAAAGAGCAAUCCAGGUUUCAAAAUAUGUGUCUGUUAUUUCUAUAAGAAUCAUGAGCAUUUAUAUAGCGAAACAUCAAUCUUUUACUUUUGUUUUAAUCGCAUAUUUAUUGCAAAUUUACAAAUUCAGAAGAAAAGACAUAUUUGGUAAAUUUUUUUGCUUGUCUACGUUAUAUUUCUAUUAAAAUUGGUAUU
Molecule: long non-coding RNA, 1291 nt
Organism: Ostrea edulis (European flat oyster)
Lineage: Eukaryota; Metazoa; Mollusca; Bivalvia; Ostreida; Ostreidae
Exons: 3
Source: RefSeq, a predicted model, not a curated record